This 77-nucleotide microRNA precursor is filed under the name Nomascus leucogenys (northern white-cheeked gibbon). RNAcentral's name for it is "miRNA (ENSNLEG00000032144.1)". The record is from RNAcentral. Lineage: Eukaryota; Metazoa; Chordata; Mammalia; Primates; Hylobatidae.
AUUAGGUUGGUGCAAAAGUAAUUUGUGGUUUUUGACAUCAGUUUUAAUGGCAAAAACUGCAGUUACUUUUGCACCAA